This 452-nucleotide ribosomal RNA is filed under the name uncultured bacterium. RNAcentral describes it as "bacterial SSU rRNA". It matches the Rfam family "Bacterial small subunit ribosomal RNA", at positions 29 to 526 of the family's 1533-position model. The record is from RNAcentral.
AACGAACGCUGGCGGCAGGCUUAACACAUGCAAGUCGAACGCAUCCUUCGGGGUGAGUGGCAGACGGGUGAGUAACGCGUGGGAACGUGCCCUUCAGUUUGGAAUAACCCAGGGAAACUUGGGCUAAUACCGGAUACGCCCUUCGGGGGAAAGAUUUAUCGCUGAAGGAUCGGCCCGCGUCUGAUUAGCUGGUUGGUAGGGUAAUGGCCUACCAAGGCGACGAUCAGUAGCUGGUCUGAGAGGAUGAUCAGCCACAUUGGGACUGAGACACGGCCCAAACUCCUACGGGAGGCAGCAGUGGGGAAUAUUGGACAAUGGGCGCAAGCCUGAUCCAGCCAUGCCGCGUGAGUGAUGACGGCCUUAGGGUUGUAAAGCUCUUUCGCACGCGACGAUAAUGACGGUAGCGUGAGAAGAAGCCCCGGCUAACUUCGUGCCAGCCGCCGCCGUAACAC